Non-coding RNA from Vicia faba (fava bean), 240 nucleotides. The record is from the annotation of a GenBank genome assembly. Lineage: Eukaryota; Viridiplantae; Streptophyta; Magnoliopsida; Fabales; Fabaceae.
AUGAGAAAUCACCUACAAAUAAUACAUAUAAUAUUAGCCCUUCGAAAUCGGAUUAUAUAUAAACCACACAAAAAUUACAACAACAGUUGCAAAAAGAGAUUCUCAAUUAUAAAUCAUACAGAAAAAAUUCAAAUUUCUUCAAUAAAAUCAACACCCAUAAACGAUAAAUUCAACAAACUAAUUAACCAAAGCAACUCAAUACACAUAUUCAGAAACUACAAACAUAACUUAAAAAAAUAA